UACGUAGGGUGCGAGCGUUAAUCGGAAUUACUGGGCGUAAAGCGUGCGCAGGCGGUUUUGUAAGCCAGAUGUGAAAUCCCCGGGCUUAACCUGGGAAUGGCAUUUGGGACUGCAAGGCUCGAGUGCGGCAGAGGAGACUGGAAUUCCUGGUGUAGCAGUGAAAUGCGUAGAUAUCAGGAGGAAUACCGAUGGCGAGGGCAGGUCUCUGGGCUGACACUGACGCUCAUGCACGAAAGCGUGGGGAGCAAACAGG
RNAcentral lists this ribosomal RNA (253 nucleotides) under uncultured bacterium. RNAcentral describes it as "partial 16S ribosomal RNA". It matches the Rfam family "Bacterial small subunit ribosomal RNA", at positions 524 to 776 of the family's 1533-position model. The record is from RNAcentral.